UCCACUGAAGUGUGAGGAGUAGAGCUGCAUUAAUGCAGUAGUGUCCCUUACACUGCUUAUUUAAUUAGAAGAGCGUAUAACAUUAACAUGAUUAAUCCCAUGGAUGAAAACAGUGCAGUAGAAAAAUCUACAGUGAACAGGAAAUAUUAAUGACUGAUCUGCCAAGUUCACAAUAGCCAAGUUUCCAACCAAAUGUAACACAACUUUUAAAUUUCUAUCUGCAAAAGAAAAUGCUAAUUAAUGCGCCUUUCCAUCCACUGCAGUUGGUGGCAUUGUUCUCUAGUUUACUCUAGCGUUGCAGUAGAAGAGGGGCAAGAAGAUGACGUACUGUAAGGCGUCAAACUUCAAAUGAACAAAAACCAUGUUGGAAACGCGACAGAAAUAUAGCAUUUCUGCCGCUGUUUUCUGUCUUCAAUGUAAGCUUAUCACUUACACGUCAUGGUUUAUUCACUUAGUCUGUUUCCAUUGACCAUUGCACUUAUUGAUAUGUGGUUAACAUAAAUAAAUGUAAAAUGAACAAAUUGAUUAAUACAUUUUGCUCAGGAAAACUUUAUAAAUCACAAUUCCAUUUAAAUCCUAAUUUUUAAUGGUUAUAAUCAUAUAUUUAUAUACAUCAUUUUUAGUAAUUAUUGCAGGAUGAGAUGUUGCUGCAAAGCUCCCCAACCAGUAGAGGUGAUAAAAUCCUUGAUCAGGAAUAAAAUAUAAGCCAUAAUAGCUUUAGUAUGAAAUGUGAAGAAAUUAGGUUUUGUAGUGUGUGUGUGUGUGUGUGUGUGUAAGUUGUUUUUCAGAGUGUAGAAUAUUUGAAAGCACCACUUGCAGAUUUUGUUUAAUUUGCUUACACUACGAUUCUACUGCAACUAAAAAUUCCCGUUCCGGUUUGCAAAAUUCUGAUAUUUUGUGCAUUAAAUAAAUAAAUGAAUGUAAUUUUUUUAAAUGAUUAACUGCACAGAAUCACUGUUUUGGUCGGCGUUGGUUACUGUGGGAGCUGCAGUUCCUUCUGUCUUUCUCCGUCGGCCUCCUAAGUAAAUUGAAAACGCCACUAGCGGUCGUUUAUCCUCUUAGUGAAAUGAGGCAGGGCAAAAAAAAUCAUCAGUAUGGCUGCUGGUGCUUCCUGUGACAUUAGGGCUACAACACACACACACACACACACACACACACACACACACACACACACACACACACACACACACACACACACACACACACACACACACACACACACUUUCUCAGACACACAGACACACACAGUAGACCCUAGCAACCGCCUCCUGUUGUUUCCUGACAAACUGCAUUGUGAUUGUGAAUAUGUUAGCAUAUUAAGAUGAGAUUUUACUAUAGUUAUGCACCCUGACUUUUUCAUUGGAUCAUUCUGAAGAAAUGAAACGCUGAAGAAAUGCACCAAUUUACACUUUAGCACAAUAUCAGAGUUAUACUACACUUUGGUAAUGUGUAUCUUUAUGCAGUGAUUUCUGUUUCUGUAUAAGCAUUAAGACCAGAAUGUGUUUUUCCAUUUUAUUGUAUUCAGGCAUUUAGAAACCUGACAUGUACUUUGGUCAGUGCAAAUGUAAAUAAUCCUAACUGAAAAAUUAAUUGAAAUAAACUACUUUGGUACU
Long non-coding RNA from Etheostoma spectabile (orangethroat darter), 1613 nucleotides. RefSeq lists it as uncharacterized. The record is from RefSeq and is a predicted model, not a curated record. The transcript has 3 exons. NCBI's taxonomy places the organism in Eukaryota, Metazoa, Chordata, Actinopteri, Perciformes, Percidae.